GGAUAGAGGGAGAUUUCUGGUUCGUGCGCACGGUUUGAUAGUAAUUCAUUGCUGGGAUAUCGGCGAACUGUUGCCAUGAUGUCUGGAGAUGGGCAAAGCAAUUGCAUUACUAGUAAGGGGAACUUCAUAAAGAGGUUCAGCAGCCUGUUGGCAGUAAGUUCCACUUGCAACACCUUCUAUAAUGUUUAUAACAAUAACAAAGACAAGUAUCCUGUAGUCGCAUCAGUUUGGGAGAUUUCUGAGGAAGGAAUUAAGAGAAUCACGGCUGUAGCUCUGAAAAGCAUCCAGCCAGUUCUUCAGAAGUUUCAAC
Long non-coding RNA from Rhincodon typus (whale shark), 310 nucleotides. RefSeq lists it as uncharacterized. The record is from RefSeq and is a predicted model, not a curated record. The transcript has 3 exons. NCBI's taxonomy places the organism in Eukaryota, Metazoa, Chordata, Chondrichthyes, Orectolobiformes, Rhincodontidae.